This 491-nucleotide ribosomal RNA is filed under the name uncultured bacterium. RNAcentral's name for it is "partial 16S ribosomal RNA". It matches the Rfam family "Bacterial small subunit ribosomal RNA", at positions 29 to 506 of the family's 1533-position model. The record is from RNAcentral.
AGUGAACGCUGGCGGUAGGCCUAACACAUGCAAGUCGAACGGCAGCACAGUAAGAGCUUGCUCUUACGGGUGGCGAGUGGCGGACGGGUGAGGAAUACAUCGGAAUCUACUUUUUCGUGGGGGAUAACGUAGGGAAACUUACGCUAAUACCGCAUACGACCUACGGGUGAAAGCAGGGGAUCUUCUGACCUUGCGCGAUUGAAUGAGCCGGUGUGGGAUUAGCUAGUUGGCGGGGUAAAGGCCCACCAAGGCGACGAUCCGUAGCUGGUCUGAGAGGAGGGACAGCCACUGAGGAAGUGAGACACGGCCCAGACUCCGACGGGAGGCAGCAGUGGGGAAUAUUGGACAAAGGGCGGAAGCCUGAUCCAGCCAUACCGCGUGGGUGAAGAAGGCCUGCGGGUUGUAAAGCCCUUUUGUGGGGAAAGAAAAGCAGCAGGUUAAUACCCCGCUGUUCUGACGGUACCCAAAGAAUAAGCACCGGCUAACUUCGU